GAGUGAAAUCUAGUCUUAUUAGGAAGUAGCUUGUUAGGUAGAUAUUUAUAAUCUGUGAAGCUUAGGAGGGAGACUGGGAUUAGAUACCCCAUUAUUCUUAAGUUUAAAUUAAGGCCUUGAGUAGUAUUAGUUAUGUGCUUAAAACUUAAAGGAUUUGGCGGUAUUUUACACCGAUUAGAGGAACCUGUCUCAUAAAUGAUAUGCCUCGUAGUAUCUCACCUUCCCUAGAGUUCAGUUUGUAUACCGCCAUUAUUAGAUAAUAUUAACAAGUUUUUGUUGUAAUAGGUAAUUUUAAUAUAUUAGGUCAAGGUGCAGCCUAUGGGAGGGCGAACGGUGGGUUACAGUAAUACAAAAUUAUUACGGAUGCUCCUUUUAACAGGGGGUUGAAGGUGGAUUUAAUAGUAAUUGAAUUUUAAUAAGUUACAAUGAAACUGGCGCUAAAAUGAGUA
Molecule: ribosomal RNA, 449 nt
Filed under: Chlorocurtis jactans
Lineage: Eukaryota; Metazoa; Arthropoda; Malacostraca; Decapoda; Pandalidae
Description: 12S ribosomal RNA
Source: RNAcentral